Molecule: ribosomal RNA, 494 nt
Filed under: uncultured bacterium
Lineage: Bacteria
Description: partial 16S ribosomal RNA
Rfam family: Bacterial small subunit ribosomal RNA
Source: RNAcentral
GACGAACGCUGGCGGCGUGCUUAACACAUGCAAGUCGAACGGUGAAGCGCCUUCCUUUUUGGUGGGUGUGGAUGAGUGGCGAACGGGUGAGUAACACGUGAGUAACCUGCCCCCUUCUUCUGGAUAACCGCAUGAAAGUGUGGCUAAUACGGGAUAUUCUGGGUCUGUCGCAUGAUGGGUCUGGGAAAGAUUUUGUUUCGGUGGGGGAUGGGCUCGCGGCCUAUCAGCUUGUUGGUGGGGUGAUGGCCUACCAAGGCGGUGACGGGUAGCCGGCCUGAGAGGGUGGACGGUCACACUGGGACUGAGACACGGCCCAGACUCCUACGGGAGGCAGCAGUGGGGAAUAUUGCACAGUGGGCGCAAGCCUGAUGCAGCGACGCCGCGGGAGGGAUGGAGGCCUUCGGGUUGUGAACCUCUUUCGCCAGUGAAGCAGGCCUGCCUCGUUUGUGGGUGGGUUGACGGUAGCUGGAUAAGAAGCGCCGGCUAACUACGUG